GGGCCGCGGUAUAUUAACCGUGCAAAGGUAGCAUAAUCACUAGUCUUUUAAUUGGGGGCUUGAAUGAAUGGUUGAACAAAUAAAUGACUGUCUUUUUUUUAAAAAUUUGAAUUUAACUUUUGAGUGAGAAGGCUUAAAUUAUUCAAGGGGACGAUAAGACCCUAUAAAUCAUUGUAUUGGGGUGAUAAGAGUAUAAGUUGUAACUGCUUUAAAUUUAUACUUAUAUUUUUGUAAUGAUCCUUUAUAAAGAUUAAAAGAUCAAGUUACUUUAGGGAUAACAGCGUUAUUUUUUUUGAGAGUUCUUAUCGAAAAAAAAGUUUGCGACCUCGAUGUUGAAUUAAAAUUUCUUUAUGGUGAAGCCGUUAUAAGARAAGGUCUGUUCGACCUUUAAAUUUUU
This 397-nucleotide ribosomal RNA is filed under the name Lamoha murotoensis. RNAcentral's name for it is "partial 16S large subunit ribosomal RNA". It matches the Rfam family "Bacterial large subunit ribosomal RNA", at positions 1928 to 2597 of the family's 2925-position model. Lineage: Eukaryota; Metazoa; Arthropoda; Malacostraca; Decapoda; Homolidae. The record is from RNAcentral.